This 372-nucleotide ribosomal RNA is filed under the name uncultured organism. RNAcentral describes it as "bacterial SSU rRNA". It matches the Rfam family "Bacterial small subunit ribosomal RNA", at positions 526 to 896 of the family's 1533-position model. The record is from RNAcentral.
CAGAGGGUGCAAACGUUGUUCGGAAUUACUGGGCGUAAAGCGCGUGCAGGCGGCCUUGCAAGUCGGACGUGAAAUCCCACGGCACAACCGUGGAAGUGCAUUCGAAACUGCGAGGCUGGAGUCCUGGAGAGGAAAGUGGAAUACUCGGUGUAGAGGUGAAAUUCGUAGAUAUCGAGUGGAACACCGGUGGCGAAGGCGGCUUUCUGGACAGGUACUGACGCUGAGACGCGAAAGCGUGGGGAGCAAACAGGAUUAGAUACCCUGGUAGUCCACGCCGUAAACGAUGAGUGCUAGGUGUCACGGGCUUUGACCCUCGUGGUGCCGAAGCUAACGCGUUAAGCACUCCGCCUGGGGAGUACGGCCGCAAGGCUA